RNAcentral lists this ribosomal RNA (491 nucleotides) under uncultured bacterium. Its description in RNAcentral is "partial 16S ribosomal RNA". It matches the Rfam family "Bacterial small subunit ribosomal RNA", at positions 338 to 795 of the family's 1533-position model. The record is from RNAcentral.
CCUACGGGGGGCAGCAGUGAGGAAUAUUGGUCAAUGGCCGGAAGGCUGAACCAGCCAAGCCGCGUGAAGGACGAAGGUGCCAAGCAUUGUAAACUUCUUUUGUCAAGGGACAAAAUCAGGCUCGAGAGCCUGACCGAGGGUACUUGAAGAAAAAGCAUCGGCUAACUCCGUGCCAGCAGCCGCGGUAAUACGGAGGAUGCGAGCGUUAUCCGGAUUUAUUGGGUUUAAAGGGUGCGUAGGCGGGCUUUUAAGUCAGCGGUAAAAGCCCGGGGCUCAACCCCGGCGAGCCGUGAAAUUUUGUGGCUCAACCAUGGGAGUGCGGCGCGAACUGGAGACCUUGAGUGCGCGGAAGGCAGGCGGAAUUCGUGGUGUAGCGGUGAAAUGCUUAGAUAUCACGAAGAACCCCGAUUGCGAAGGCAGCCUGCCGCAGCGUUACUGACGCUGAAGCUCGAAAGCGCGGGUAUCGAACAGGAUUAGAUACCCCAGUAGUC